CCUACGGGAGGCAGCAGUGAGGAAUAUUGGUCAAUGGACGAGAGUCUGAACCAGCCAAGUAGCGUGAAGGAUGACUGCCCUAUGGGUUGUAAACUUCUUUUAUAUGGGAAUAAAAUGUUCCACGUGUGGGAUUUUGUAUGUACCAUAUGAAUAAGGAUCGGCUAACUCCGUGCCAGCAGCCGCGGUAAUACGGAGGAUCCGAGCGUUAUCCGGAUUUAUUGGGGUUAACGGGAGCGUAGGUGGAUUGUUAAGUCAGUUGUGAAAGUUUGCGGCUCAACCGUAAAAUUGCAGUUGAAACUGGCAGGCUUGAGUACAGUAGAGGUGGGCGGAAUUCGUGGUGUAGCGGUGAAAUGCUUAGAUAUCACGAAGAACUCCGAUUGCGAAGGCAGCUCACUGGACUGCAACUGACACUGAGGCUCGAAAGUGUGGGUAUCAAACAGGAUUAGAUACCCGGGUAGUC
Molecule: ribosomal RNA, 460 nt
Filed under: uncultured bacterium
Lineage: Bacteria
Description: partial 16S ribosomal RNA
Rfam family: Bacterial small subunit ribosomal RNA
Source: RNAcentral